CCCCCUCUCGCCCUUGUCACCUUUGCGGCCCUGCAGUCCUGGGAAUCCCUGCAGGCCUGGGGGCCCGGUGUACCCCUGGGGGCCCACUGGCCCUGGCUGGCCCUGCAGAAACAACAGAUCGGAAGAACACACG
Molecule: long non-coding RNA, 133 nt
Organism: Herpailurus yagouaroundi (jaguarundi)
Lineage: Eukaryota; Metazoa; Chordata; Mammalia; Carnivora; Felidae
Exons: 3
Source: RefSeq, a predicted model, not a curated record